Molecule: ribosomal RNA, 460 nt
Filed under: uncultured bacterium
Lineage: Bacteria
Description: partial 16S ribosomal RNA
Rfam family: Bacterial small subunit ribosomal RNA
Source: RNAcentral
CCUACGGGGGGCAGCAGUGAGGAAUAUUGGUCAAUGGGCGAGAGCCUGAACCAGCCAAGUAGCGUGAAGGAUGACUGCCCUAUGGGUUGUAAACUUCUUUUAUAAAGGAAUAAACUGCAGCACGUGUGCCUUUUUGUCUGUACCUUAUGAAUAAGGAUCGGCUAACUCCGUGCCAGCAGCCGCGGUAAUACGGUGUAUCCGAGCGUUAUCCGGAUUUAUUGGGUUUAAAGGGAGCGUAGUUGGAAGGUUAAGUCAGUUGUGAAAGUUUGCGGCUCAACCGUAAAAUUGCAAUUGAUACUGGCAGUCGUGAGUACAGUAGAGGUAGGCGGAAUUCGUGGUGUAGCGGUGAAAUGCUUAGAUAUCACGAAGAACUCCGAUUGCGAAGGCAGCUUACUAAACUGCAACUGACAUUGAUGCUCGAAAGUGUGGGUAUCAAACAGGAUUAGAUACCCUAGUAGUC